This 46-nucleotide non-coding RNA is filed under the name Schistosoma haematobium. Lineage: Eukaryota; Metazoa; Platyhelminthes; Trematoda; Strigeidida; Schistosomatidae. The record is from RNAcentral.
GCACUACAGAGGAGUCUCACAACAGGACGAAACGGCCGUCCAGUUC